UUUUUCCCUACCACCACUAAUAUUUUCUUUUCCCUACCACUAAUCUUUUUCCCUACCACCACUAAUAUUUUCUUUUCCCUACCACUAAUCUUUUUCCCUACCACCACUAAUUUGUUUUCAUACCACUACGCUUUGUAAAAAAAAAAAAUAGCUUUUAGUCAUGCCCUUAUAUCCUUACUUCUCUCUGCACAACCAAAGUUGGAAUUCAUAGAAGCCUUUAAGCUCCAAGAGUAGUAUCAAAGUAAGGGAGAGCGUGGGAAACCUAGGGCGUAAAGUUAGAGUGAAGAUUGUGCUUCGAGGGCUUUGUGACCAGGGGGAUUAGCGCUGCUUUCCCAAGACAGGUUUUUAUGUGUAUGAUCUUCAGGCUUUGCCUAUCCAGGUGGGCUUACUUUCCAAAUGUACAAAGUAUGAUUGAGUUAUUAAGCUCUAAAUGUUUUCAAUGAAAUGCAAAUUGUUUAUUUAAUGUAAUGAAAACUGUUUAUCCAAUAAAAUGUUUAUGUGCACUCUGCUCUGUUUAAGGCUCGCAAUUCAUGGAUUGAUCGAGGUUCUCUUAUGGCCUAACACGUUAUUUGAGAAUUGUGUACACUUGUUAGUUGUUUCGGUGGGUUGAUCUCCAUCGGGCACUAAUUCAUGUAAGAGGCGUUAUAAGGGUGCUUGGCUGGAUGUGUUCCGGAGCAUGUAUCAUGUAAGGCCUGCCUGGGUAGCGUCCCGAGGUCAAUUCAACUUGUCUGAGUUACGUCCUCAGGGCAAGUGCAAUGGGAGAAAUGGAUCUGUCGGUGGCUAAAAGGUCCGGGAUCACAGCGAGUAACAGAAAGGGAGUGUGACAUGUGCGCACAAAUGAAAGAAAAUGUUUUAACAUGCUUAGAAGUACUUCUUUCAAUUUAAAACCUUCUAAGUCAUGUCAAGUAUGAUUGGAUAAACUGCUCUUACGAAAAUAUGAAAUGUUUAUGAAAAUGCAUGCCCACUAAGUACAUUAGUACUUAGCCCAAAAAUACUUUCAAAUGUUUUCAGGUUGGCUGGCUGGUGCUGACGGGACGGAGCUGAGGCUAGAGUUAAAAUUCAUAUGUUAGACUUCCGCUGUAGCAAUUACUCUUAUACAUCUUUUGUUUUCUCAACUUAAGAUGACUUCAUGUCGAGCUUAAAUUUGAAAUUCUAGUUUUAUGCUAAUGAAUGUUGGUUGUCAGAAACAUGAAACAAAACUUGUGAUCCAAAGGGGCAUAGCCCGACUUUCUAUCCUAUUUUGGGUUUUAACGAGGUA
Molecule: long non-coding RNA, 1258 nt
Organism: Salvia miltiorrhiza (redroot sage)
Lineage: Eukaryota; Viridiplantae; Streptophyta; Magnoliopsida; Lamiales; Lamiaceae
Exons: 2
Source: RefSeq, a predicted model, not a curated record